UAUUGGUGAGAAUCCAAUGCUCCGAAAACCCAAUGGUUCCUCCGCAAGGUUCAUCCACAGACGGUGAGUCAGGGCCUAAGAUCAAGCCGGAAGGCGUAAUCGAUAGACAACAAGUGAAUAUUCCUAUACUAUCCCUUUUUAGUCCUGAUGGACAAAAGAGGCUAGGUUAGCCAAAAAAUGGUUAUCGAUUUAAGGAUGCAAAGUGCCCCUAUUUUUUUUAGGGUAAGAAGGAAUGGAGAAAAUGCCCCGAGCCAAUGUUCAAGUACCAUGCACUACAACAUUGAAGAAACCAAUGCUAUACUCCCAGGAAAAGCUCGAACGACCUUCAAAAAAAGGUACCUGUGGCACAAUAAUGCUCAUUGAG
Molecule: non-coding RNA, 364 nt
Filed under: Gossypium hirsutum (cotton)
Lineage: Eukaryota; Viridiplantae; Streptophyta; Magnoliopsida; Malvales; Malvaceae
Description: Bacterial large subunit ribosomal RNA
Rfam family: Bacterial large subunit ribosomal RNA
Source: Rfam by way of RNAcentral